UGCAGUCUAUCUACUGAUUUACAAUAUGCCUAGUCGCUCUAUUGAUGUAAAUGAUUGCCUUGCCUAACUGUUAAUGUGAUUUUAUUGUGUUUAGUACUAAGCUCCUUACCUGAUAACCGGCCUACUUUUUUGCACUGUACUCUAAUGUUGUAUUUUUACGUUUUUAACAUUAUCUAAUCUUUUUCUUCUGCUUCUCCUCUUGCAUAGCUAUCCCUUGAUUCUCCCUGAGUUGUUUGUCCUGAUUGGAAAUCUCAACUACCCCUACUUGGAUACUCUCUGACUGCUAUCCCUGGAAAGUACAGGACAGAGCCCUUCUAUUAUACCACUACCGCAAGCUUCCACGAAACUAUCCCUUGAUUCUCCCUGAGUUGUUUGUCCUGAUUGGAAAUCUCAACUACCCCUACUUGGAUACUCUCUGACUGCUAUCCCUGGAAAGUACAGGACAGAGCCCUUCUAUUAUACCACUACCGCAAGCUUCCACGAAACUAUCCCUUGAUUCUCCCUGAGUUGUUUGUCCUGAUUGGAAAUCUCAACUACCCCUACUUGGAUACUCUCUGACUGCUAUCCCUGGAAAGUACAGGACAGAGCCCUUCUAUUAUACCACUACCG
Protopterus annectens (West African lungfish) is the source of this 609-nucleotide long non-coding RNA. RefSeq lists it as uncharacterized. The record is from RefSeq and is a predicted model, not a curated record. Lineage: Eukaryota; Metazoa; Chordata; Ceratodontiformes; Protopteridae. The transcript has 3 exons.